RNAcentral lists this RNase P RNA (172 nucleotides) under Zunongwangia profunda. Its description in RNAcentral is "partial RNase P RNA component class A". It matches the Rfam family "Bacterial RNase P class A", at positions 1 to 226 of the family's 367-position model. From Rfam's summary of the family: Ribonuclease P (RNase P) is a ubiquitous endoribonuclease, found in archaea, bacteria and eukarya as well as chloroplasts and mitochondria. Lineage: Bacteria; Pseudomonadati; Bacteroidota; Flavobacteriia; Flavobacteriales; Flavobacteriaceae. The record is from RNAcentral.
CAAGCAGGUCGGCCCUAUCGCUAAGUUCAUAUUUGUGGCUUAGAGGAAAGUCCGGACACCAUAGAGCAGCAUAGUGGGUAACGCCCACCGGUCGUGAGGCCAGGACAAGUGCAACAGAAAGAAUGUACAGGUAAUGCUGUAGUGAAAUCAGGUAAACUCUAUGCGGUGCAAU